Long non-coding RNA from Macrobrachium nipponense, 2649 nucleotides. RefSeq lists it as uncharacterized. Lineage: Eukaryota; Metazoa; Arthropoda; Malacostraca; Decapoda; Palaemonidae. The transcript has 4 exons. The record is from RefSeq and is a predicted model, not a curated record.
CAGAAUGGUGAAAUGAUGCUGCGCUUCUGAGUGAGGGAGCGAAUGGGUUCUCCCUCAGAUUAUAAAUUGACGCCAGUGAACAGCAUUUCUACCAAGGUAGACCAGACCAGUUAUUGCAGAAGGGAAGGAGAAACAGCAAUGUGAAUAGUUUCAACUAGGAUGUUUAAGUAGGAAGGUCUAUUAAAAUGUGGGAGAAUAUCAAGUGCAGCACGUCACAUACCUGGACUUUAAAGAUCUGCUCAUGAAGACAACAAUUUUCUGAGGAAAAUGAGUGCCCAGGAGUCGUGCUCAGAUCAGUACAGUAUAUCUUACUGGUAUCCCCACAGCGUGGUCUGACCCCUUGGUGUUGAUUUGCCAGACCUGCAGAGCCUUUCAAAGGAGUUCAUUACUGCCAAUGAAGCCACAGCACCAGGAGAGAACUUCAGUGAGGAAGGAAGGACAGCUUCAAGAAUAAACAGAAGCAAGAGGAGAGAUGCAUUAAAUAAUAAAUACUGGAUGACAAGCACUGAAGACAUGGAAGAACAGAGAAACCCCAGUGAGUGCUUUUUGCACCAGCUAUGACAGUGGAGGAACCAAUGCUAUAUACGUAUAUGUUUUUUUUUCUUUUAAAUAUUGUGUUCGUAAAUACCUGAUCAAUCUUGCGCACUCUCUCUCUCAAAACAAACCCCAGGGACUUCAAGUCGUUUUUUAUUGGCAAAAUUGUUGUUGAUUGGCAAAAUCGUUGUCUGUUUUCCAUCUUAUUAUAAAAUUGCUGGGCCUUGAACUAUCCUUCUCAUGGACUUGAAAGUUAGAAGUAGAGUGCCACAACUGAGGCAAGUGCAGUGUAGGCCCUAGCCACUGUACUCUUGAGUAUUAUACCUCGUUUCGCCUGUGGUCUGGUGCCUAUAGGUAGAUUUUAGGUGUUUAAAAUAACCAUCCAUUUCUGGUUAUAUCAAAUUGUCUGUAAUUCCUUAACUAUUCAUGUAACUGCAGUUCUUGGUGUAAACGUUUAAUGAAGACUUGUAUUCCUAGUAUUCUCUGCUCAUGUCUUGAGAAGGCAACAGAGUAGAGGUGUUUUCAAAUGGAUUGGUAAGAUUAUAGAGGUGGUUCUGAUUUCAUGUUGAAGUUAAAUUUACCACACCUGUGGUCAAAGGGUGUAAUGUCCAGCUCCACCCUCCACUAGUCUUCCUUCUCUCCAGAAACAAGGUUCAUAUUAUAGAACCAGAUGAUUGUUCUGUAACUGCUCUUAGCUAGAGCUCUCAACUUCUUUUGGGGAGCUGGCCCAACUUUUACCUUAUUUUCUGAGCGCCUCAGUGGCGUGGUUGGUAUGGUGUUGGCGUCCUACCUCAGUGGUCGCGUAAAGCCGUUGGUCCCGUUGCUGAAUAACCACUGGUUCCAUGCAAUGUAAAAGCACCAUACACACAAACAAACCUUAUUUUCUGAUGCUGGACCUCCUUUAUUCAUUGUUGGACCUUAUGACGUGUUCUUUUAAUACUAUUUCUUUGACCUUCACUUUUUUUGGUAGGGUUGGGCUCCCUUGCUUUGCCAUUCAUCAUGUCCUGUCCAAUAGGCAAGACCUUCAGUGUGUACCAUAUCAUCAAGAAAGACGUUCCCCCUCACAUGGAACCACCUUGACGUGGCAUAUUUUCUGGCAAGGAGUGCCCUUAUAUCUGUCGUGUCAAGGACCAAGCAGAGGGUUGGUCCAUUCCAAUCCUUCCAAGUCCUGUUGGAGGAGUAUGAAUUUGUGUAGAUCAUGUAGUGUCAGGAUUGUUUUUGCAAUUAGUGACCACCAGCUUGAUUUUCUCUUGUUAAGGAACUGUAGCAUUACAAGGUGUUUGUUUCCCAAAGUAAAACUGUCACAGGCUGUGUUUUGUGACUGAAAACUGUUUGGCAUAACUUUUUAGUUCAAAUCUCGGAGUCUGUAACUGCUUGUAAAACUGCUUUGUCAGUUCCUUGCAUGCAGGUUCUGAACUACUAUUGCUUUCAAUCUCUUGAUUCUGUCUUGUUUAGAAUUAAUUAAAUUGCAUUCUGUUCUACCUUAACCUCUCGAGUUUGUUCCAUUUUGUCUACUUCCGUAAGAGUUGUCAAUAGAUUAUGAGCCAUAAUGACAGUGGUCAGAUGCUCACUUUUUAAUUGGAGGCGUUGCAAGUGUGCCCUGGAUGGAGGAAUUUGUUUGUUGGGUCAGUGUAUAGGUCCUGAGGUAUUUUGGCUUAGGGUGCACAGGGACCAGGACACACUUCUCUCUCCCCACCCCUUCCUAUAUAUCAUCGUUCUUGCAUCAUUCUCCUGAUUCUUGUCUGGACUAGUCGGUAGAAACUAGGUUUUUGAAACACCCCUCCAUCUUCAUUUCAAAUUAUACCAAUGGUGACUUUCAUACUCUGAUUUGUAGCAUCAAUGUUGAAGUAUUAAUCACCUAAUGCUUCUCAUCCUUCUGAUUAGUGAAUUACUAUCCUUCUCUUGGGGACGGUUGAGCUUGAUAAGAGAGCUUUGAGAAUUCUACUUUUACUCUGUUAGAGAAUCGAAGUGGAGCUGUAUGUCCUUGUCAUCUUUGAAUUGACUGUUUUGCCAUCUUGAACUGUCUUGAUUGGUCAAGAUCGUUUAAGAUUUUUAAUGGCGUAAAACCACUGACUCUCUCUCUCUCUCUCUCUCUCUCUCUCUCUCUCUCUCGCU